RNAcentral lists this ribosomal RNA (301 nucleotides) under uncultured bacterium. RNAcentral describes it as "partial 16S ribosomal RNA". It matches the Rfam family "Bacterial small subunit ribosomal RNA", at positions 509 to 807 of the family's 1533-position model. The record is from RNAcentral.
CAGCAGCCGCGGGAAAACGUAGGGUGCAAGCGUUAAUCGGAAUUACUGGGCGUAAAGCGUGCGCAGGCGGUUUGUUAAGACAGAUGUGAAAUCCCCGGGCUUAACCUGGGAACUGCAUUUGUGACUGGCAAGCUGGAGUCUGGCAGAGGGGGGUGGAAUUCCGCGUGUAGCAGUGAAAUGCGUAGAUAUGCGGAGGAACACCGAUGGCGAAGGCAGCCACCUGGUCCACUUCUGACGCUGAGGCGCGAAAGCGUGGGGAGCAAACAGGAUUAGAUACCCGUGUAGUCCCUGUCUCUUAUAC